RNAcentral lists this ribosomal RNA (439 nucleotides) under uncultured bacterium. RNAcentral describes it as "partial 16S ribosomal RNA". It matches the Rfam family "Bacterial small subunit ribosomal RNA", at positions 339 to 795 of the family's 1533-position model. The record is from RNAcentral.
CUACGGGAUGCUCCAGUGAGGAAUAUUGCACAAUGGGGGGGACCCUGAUGCAGCAACGCCGCGUGGAGGAUGACGCAUUUCGGUGUGUAAACUCCUUUUAUAUGCCAAGAAAAUGACGGUAGCAUAUGAAUAAGCACCGGCUAACUCCGUGCCAGCAGCCGCGGUAAUACGGAGGGUGCAAGCGUUACUCGGAAUCACUGGGCGUAAAGGACGCGUAGGCGGGUUGGAAAGUCAGGUGUGAAAUCCUACAGCUUAACUGUAGAACUGCACUUGAAACUUCUAAUCUAGAGUAUGGGAGGGGGAGAUGGAAUUAGUGGUGUAGGGGUAAAAUCCGUAGAUAUCACUAGGAAUACCUAAAGCGAAGGCGAUCUCCUGGAACAUUACUGACGCUAAGGCGUGAAAGCGUGGGGAGCAAACAGGAUUAGAUACCCCGGUAGUC